This 556-nucleotide long non-coding RNA is filed under the name Scleropages formosus (Asian bonytongue). Its description in RNAcentral is "lncRNA (ENSSFOG00015029215.1)". The record is from RNAcentral. Lineage: Eukaryota; Metazoa; Chordata; Actinopteri; Osteoglossiformes; Osteoglossidae.
UGUAAUCUUCCUUUUGUUGGAGUCCUCCCCAAACCAUCGUUCAGUGACUGUUGUGCUGUGCCGGCCAAAAUGCCGAAGCACCACGACUUGGAGCAUAUGGCUGCGUUUCACGAAAAGUAGCACGGGAUGUCACCAAGGGUUUUUGUAAGUUUUGCGACACAACUGAGAGCAGAGAGAAAGACAAAAGUCACACGACGACCAUGAUUUCGAGUGCUCGCUUGAACCGUACAUGGCCCUUUGGGACUGCGUCCGGCCAAUUCCCCUCCAAGCUCGCCAGGGGAGUCUCAUAAAGGUGAAAGAGCCACACCUGGUGCUCGUUUCCACCUAUCAAGCCCCCAUAUCCCGCCGCCCCCCAGUUCCAGACAGAGCCAAGUGCAGAGCAACCAAUAUCAAGACAUUUUCAUACCCCAGUGCAGCAAGUGCGAUAUGACAAGUGGGAGAUGAACAUGGAAUCAGAUGCUGUGUUUUUUUUUUUUUUUUUUUUUUUUUCUCUCAAAGCUUUCUAGGCUUCUUUGAAAGAUGUUUCUGGUUUAAUUUAGCAUUUUUCUCUUUGGCA